GGCGAUAGCGAAGAGGUCACACCCGUGAACAUACCGAACACGGAAGUUAAGCUCUUCAGCGCCGAUGGUAGUCGGGGGUUUCCCCCUGUGAGAGUAGGACGCCGCCAAGC
RNAcentral lists this ribosomal RNA (110 nucleotides) under Bacillus sp. S17B2. Lineage: Bacteria; Bacillati; Bacillota; Bacilli; Caryophanales; Bacillaceae. The record is from RNAcentral.